UCCCUUAGGAGGCGGUGACCAUCUGCCCGU
This 30-nucleotide non-coding RNA is filed under the name Homo sapiens (human). The record is from RNAcentral. Lineage: Eukaryota; Metazoa; Chordata; Mammalia; Primates; Hominidae.